UGGUGGAGCAUGUGGUUUAAUUCGAUGCAACGCGAAGAACCUUACCAAGGCUUGACAUGAACUAGUAAGGCGCAGAGAUGCGUCCCCCACUUUGUGGCUGGUUUACAGGUGGUGCAUGGUUGUCGUCAGCUCGUGUCGUGAGAUGUUGGGUUAAGUCCCGCAACGAGCGCAACCCUCGUUCUAUGUUGCCAGCACGUGAUGGUGGGGACUCAUAGGAGACUGCCGGGGUCAACUCGGAGGAAGGUGGGGACGACGUCAAAUCAUCAUGCCCCUUAUGUCUUGGGCUUCACGCAUGCUACAAUGGCCGGUACAAAGGGUUGCGAUACUGUGAGGUGGAGCUAAUCCCAAAAAGCCGGUCUCAGUUCGGAUUGGGGUCUGCAACUCGACCCCANGAAGUCGGAGUCGC
RNAcentral lists this ribosomal RNA (406 nucleotides) under Arthrobacter sp. AZTITEMP10. Its description in RNAcentral is "bacterial SSU rRNA". It matches the Rfam family "Bacterial small subunit ribosomal RNA", at positions 930 to 1335 of the family's 1533-position model. The record is from RNAcentral. Lineage: Bacteria; Bacillati; Actinomycetota; Actinomycetes; Micrococcales; Micrococcaceae.